UUAUUAUUAUUGAAAAAUAAUAGUAAUAAUAAUAAUAAUACUAUUAUUAAUAGUUAUAACCACUAUGGAAAUCAAAUACAAAAUGUCGUCUGCUCUGUUGGAGAAAUUAUGCUUCUAUUUAAUGAUCCUUCCCAUGUUGCUGGACUUACACACGGCUUUCGGCCAAGGAUUCGAAGGUGAAAAUGGAUUACUUUCAGCUCAAUGUCGGGCUAGGUGUAUGGAAGAGUUUGAAGUAGCACAAUUUUCACAGGUAA
Molecule: long non-coding RNA, 254 nt
Filed under: Octopus vulgaris (common octopus)
Lineage: Eukaryota; Metazoa; Mollusca; Cephalopoda; Octopoda; Octopodidae
Source: RNAcentral